Camelina sativa (false flax) is the source of this 383-nucleotide non-coding RNA. The record is from RefSeq and is a predicted model, not a curated record. Lineage: Eukaryota; Viridiplantae; Streptophyta; Magnoliopsida; Brassicales; Brassicaceae.
GAUUCGGAGAAUCAUAGCCGGUAUUGGUGUUGAAAUCGUGUUUCCCAUAUACUCUCCCAACAUCAAAGAGAUAAAAGUGAUGAGUCACAGAAAAGUGAGAAGAGCAAGGCUUUACUAUCUGAGGGACAAGCUUCCUCGUCUGUCCACUUUCAAGUGAACACCCAUCAACCGUGCUGUGUUUGACCUCCAGAGGUAGUAGUAAUCUUCCGCUUUGUGCUCUGUUUUUGUAAGAUUUUUUUCUUUCUUCUUGAGCCUGUAAGUCAUUUGCCUGCGCACACUCUUGCGAGAAAGUAAAUCAAAGAUUAGUUGAACUUUCCGUUGAUAAAUGUAGACCUGGUCCUAAUUUGAUGAUGAGUGAUAUAUAUAUUGAUGAUCUUUUAGGA